AUGAUACACUAGUUUUGUAUUAUCAUAGCAAGGAUGCCAUGAAGUGUAGGGAAAGCGGUGCAAAUCCGCUGCAGCCCCCGCUACUGUAAACGGUUACGACUUCGCAUGUUUCCCAUUGUGCCUGUGAAAGCAACGGCAUGAGAAGGGGCGGACGUCGGUUGACCCGUGAGCCAGGAGACCUGCUUCAGUGGACGGCAUUUU
Molecule: non-coding RNA, 201 nt
Filed under: Tumebacillus flagellatus
Lineage: Bacteria; Bacillati; Bacillota; Bacilli; Caryophanales; Alicyclobacillaceae
Source: RNAcentral